This 65-nucleotide transfer RNA is filed under the name Prymnesium neolepis. Lineage: Eukaryota; Haptophyta; Prymnesiales; Prymnesiaceae. The record is from RNAcentral.
CUGUUUUCGUUUGGUAUAACAACACAGCAUACCCUAGUGAAUUCUAUGGUCCAACAGGUCCAGAA